Molecule: ribosomal RNA, 248 nt
Filed under: uncultured bacterium
Lineage: Bacteria
Description: partial 16S ribosomal RNA
Rfam family: Bacterial small subunit ribosomal RNA
Source: RNAcentral
UUGCCCUACGGGGGGCAGCAGUGGGGGAUAUUGGACAAUGGGGGAAACCCUGAUCCAGCGACGCCGCGUGAGUGAAGAAGUAUUUCGGUAUGUAAAGCUCUGUCAGCAGGGAAGAAAGAAAUGACGGUACCUGACCAAGAAGCCCCGGAUAACUACGUGCCAGCAGCCGCGGGAAUACGUAGGGGGCAAGCGUUAUCCGGAAUUACUGGGGGUAAAGGGAGCGUAGAGGGUGAUGCAAGAGUGGAGAG